GACAGAGGGUGCAAACGUUGUUCGGAGUUACUGGGCGUAAAGCGUGUGUAGGCGGCCAGACAAGUCGGAUGUGAAAGCCCUGGGCUCAACCCAGGAAGUGCACUCGAUACUGUCUGGCUUGAGUAUCGGAGAGGUUGGUGGAAUUCUCGGUGUAGAGGUGAAAUUCGUAGAUAUCGAGAGGAACACCGGUGGCGAAGGCGGCCAACUGGACGAAUACUGACGCUGAGACACGAAAGCGUGGGGAGCAAACAGG
RNAcentral lists this ribosomal RNA (253 nucleotides) under uncultured bacterium. RNAcentral's name for it is "partial 16S ribosomal RNA". It matches the Rfam family "Bacterial small subunit ribosomal RNA", at positions 524 to 776 of the family's 1533-position model. The record is from RNAcentral.